CCCUUAGAUGUUCUGGGCCGCACGCGCGCUACACUGACGAUGGCAACGAGUUUUUCCUUCGCCGAAAGGUGUGGGUAAUCUUUUGAAACAUCGUCGUGCUGGGGAUAGAUCAUUGCAAUUUUUGAUCUUGAACGAGGAAUUCCUAGUAAGCGCGAGUCAUCAGCUCGCGUUGAUUACGUCCCUGCCCUUUGUACACACCGCCCGUCGCUACUACCGAUUGGAUGGCUUAGUGAGACCCUCGGACCGAUAGGCUGUCGCCGCGGCAACGUGGCGACCGGCCCGUCGGGAAGAAGGUCAAACUUGACUGUCUAGAGGAAGUAAAAGUCGUAACA
RNAcentral lists this ribosomal RNA (332 nucleotides) under uncultured eukaryote. Its description in RNAcentral is "partial 18S ribosomal RNA". It matches the Rfam family "Eukaryotic small subunit ribosomal RNA", at positions 1470 to 1796 of the family's 1831-position model. The record is from RNAcentral.